UGGCGGCAGGCCUAACACAUGCAAGUCGAGCGGAAACGACUUANCUGAACCUUCGGGGAACGNUAACGGCGUCGAGCGGCGGACGGGUGAGUAAUGCCUAGGAAAUUGCCUUGAUGUGGGGGAUAACCAUUGGAAACGAUGGCUAAUACCGCAUAAUGCCUACGGGCCAAAGAGGGGGACCUUCGGGCCUCUCGCGUCAAGAUAUGCCUAGGUGGGAUUAGCUAGUUGGUGAGGUAAUKGCUCACCAAGGCGACGAUYCCUAGCYKGUCUGAGAGGAUGAUCAGCCACACUGGAACUGAGACACGGUCCAGACUCCUACGGGAGGCAGCAGUGGGGAAUAUUGCACAAUGGGCGAAAGCCUGAUGCAGCCAUGCCGCGUGUAUGAAGAAGGCCUUCGGGUUGUAAAGUACUUUCAGUUGUGAGGAAGGGGGUGUCGUUAAUAGCGGCAUUUCUUGACGUUAGCAACAGAAGAAGCACCGGCUAACUCCGUGCCAGCAGCCGCGGUAAUACGGAGGGUGCGAGCGUUAAUCGGAAUUACUGGGCGUAAAGCGCAUGCAGGUGGNUCAUUAAGUCANAUGUGAAAGCCCGGGGCUCAACCUCGGAACUGCAUUUGAAACUGGUGAACUAGAAUACUUGUAAAAGGGGGUAGAAUUUCAA
Molecule: ribosomal RNA, 657 nt
Filed under: Vibrio sp. C6a
Lineage: Bacteria; Pseudomonadati; Pseudomonadota; Gammaproteobacteria; Vibrionales; Vibrionaceae
Description: bacterial SSU rRNA
Rfam family: Bacterial small subunit ribosomal RNA
Source: RNAcentral